This 6398-nucleotide long non-coding RNA is filed under the name Sus scrofa (pig). RNAcentral describes it as "lncRNA (ENSSSCG00000060589.1)". Lineage: Eukaryota; Metazoa; Chordata; Mammalia; Artiodactyla; Suidae. The record is from RNAcentral.
GACUUCAUCUGAAACAAAUCUUCCUUGGGACAAGAUCCAAGUCUGACUUGCUCACCACUCUAUUCUUAGUGCCAAGCACAGUGCCUGGCAUGUACUCACCCAGUAUAUGUUGUUGAAUCAGUGCCACUGAAUACAGUUAUGCAGUCUGUGUCCCAUCCAGCUCUAAGGACACCAUCCACAUAGCCAAUGAUAUCAUUGGUGCUCCCUGGAAAUGUAGAACAGAGCAACUGUAUAUUGAAUGAAAGAAUACAUAAAUAAAUAAGUCAAUGGAUGAGUAAAUGAAACCAUUUCUACAGAAUUGCCUUAUUAAAGAAAACUAUAUUGGUGUCCAGUAUAUCCUAAAAACUGAAAAAUCCCGUGUGGUUAUAUAUGCCUUGCAUAUAUGUCACACUGAAGCAGUUAUUUUGGCAUUUUAUGUGUUCCAAAUGAGACCUCUUUUGUCCUUAUAGGAAUUCUAAAAGUACUUUUUCAUAAUCUUGUACUUGGUUCACAACCCUCCAGGUACCAAUAUAAAGUCCCACUUUGGUUUUUUAAUUAUACAGGGACCUCAUUUUUGACUUGCAGGUGAAAAAGAGCUAAAGCUGGAUUCCAUUGGUGAGUCAAAGUACAUUUUUAAUAUAGUAUUUUUAUUCAGUGGGGCCCCUGAGUGAUAUCUGCAAUGCAUUAUAAUAUGCUGGUAAGAUAUAUAGAAUCAUCAGGGAAGAAAAGAGUGACAUCCAAAAGAAGGUUAUAGAUCACUAUGCUGAGAGUUAGAUUACCUGACACAGGGGACUUCUGAUAAUGAAGUAUCUAUUGGAAAUAAUAAAUCUUAGCCAUGACAUCCAUCUCCAAACCUUGACACACAUCUACAUUCUGUUUAUGACUCCAGGCUCCCCUACAGUGGACACUGAGCCCUGAUCAUUAGUGAUACCAUUUAUUAAUAAAACUUAAAAGGGCAGCAUCUUAAAAAAAAAAAAAAAAAGGAGAAUUUGGGUUAGGUGAAUCAUGAUUUCUUAGGACCAAGAAUUGCUACAUCACCCCCAAUACUGCCACCAUGUCACCCUGUAAUUCACAUCCUUGCAUUCCCAAAAGAGCCUCCAAGCUCCUUGUGUCUUGAGUUUGGUUUUGUAUUUAACUUACACACACCUGCCUUGCACAUUCAGGGUUUGUAGGUCUUGGUAUUCAUGUAAUGACCAAAUGAAAUUAUUAAACCAAAUGGUUUCAUUCAACCACACUUAAAAUUCCACAUGGCCUCAAAAGCAUCACCACGUUGAUUUUUCACACUAAAUAUAGAGCAUCAACCUGGGCAAGUUUCUCACCUGGAUUUCAUCCAUGAGUUGGUAGAUGCCUUGAUGCACCACUCAGACACCCUGCCAGGAAUGAAGGACCUAACUUCCCAACUGCUGGACAUGUAGCCAGAAGGCAACCCUGGGUGGGUAGGCCCCCACUGGAAAAAGACUGCUGAGGAGAGCUGCCUCACCCUUCCAGGGGCGGCCUAGACCAAUAGCUGAUCAACACCAAGGUGUAAAGACUCUUGCCAUCUCAGGCCAAUGUAGCAGGGCCACCCCAGCUCCAGAGCUUUCCUUGGGCUCAGGUGAGGCCUUUCCUGAUAAUAUAUCCCAAUUUCUCUCUCUACCCCAUCUUGUUUCUAUCCUCCUCCAGCUCACAGGUGUUCAUCCCAAGAGCACUUGCUAAUAAAAUUUCCCAAUGUUAAUAUUUUUCCCAGAGUUAGCUUCUCACAGAGCACAACCUAUAACCCUUGCCUCUAUGUUUCAAAGAAUUAAACACAAAGGAAUCAAUUCAAGGGCUUUUUCUCCCCCAUUAGAACAAUCUUAUAACAAAUGACAUUAUUAUUUGAGAAAGAGACUGGAUCUUGGUAGCAGCUGCAGCAGAAAGCCAGAUUCACACUAUUCAUGUAAUACAACAGAAACACUCAUAGCUUGGAGUAACCUCCAUUCAUUGCAUGUUGUCCUUCAUUGCAUGGGAAUGCUGCUUCCAAAACAUUAGGAAUUUAGGAAAUUAUGAUGAGGGAACAAACACAGACUUAAUUAGGAGCAGUGUCAGAGUUCUUGCAUUUUUUAAUUGACCUCCAGGAAACUACUUUUUUUUAAUGCCAAGUUGUUGCUUAUAUCUGAUUCUCCAAAAUGUACAGUAACAAGACAACUCUUGAAGAAAUCUCCAAGUCUAGAAGAUUUUUUAAAAAUGUCAAACAUUUUCCCUAUUGACUAUCAUAACAAAUGUAAUUCUUGAUGAUACUCUAGUAUAAUUAUAUUUAAUAGUAUAUGAUUAUUAUUGAUAAGGCUCUGGUAUAGGGGUCAGUGAAAUACAGAUUGGGGUAGAAACCCAGCACACAUGGGCAGAAUUUGGCCACAUCCAUUCAUUGAGAGACUGUGUCUGGCUGCUUUCGUUCUACAAUGGCAGAGUUAAAUAGCUGGGGCAGAAACUGCAUGCCCGUGAAGUCUAAUAUAUUUAUAAUUUGGCCCUUCAUGAAAAGACUGCUGACCUCUGCUCUUGAGUAGUAACAUUUAGUGCUCAGUACACCAUUAAAUGAAAUAAUAAAAUUUUGUUUAAGAAGAGUAACACUCUGUGGAUAUACACACACACACUCAAAGUUAGCUCUGAUCACUGAAAUUAGAGGUAAAUUUUUGGAUUUUCUUCUUUUUCUUUUUUUUUACUUUCCACAAGAAAUAUGCAUUGUUUUUCAGUAAGAAAAGUAAUAGAUGCUAUUCACUGUGUAAUCUGUAAUUUUUCCUUCAAAACCAUUUAGAAUUUUAUUAGCUGGCUGUCUUUAUAGUUAUUUAUCUGAAGUCCAAUUAGAAAGCAGCUCUGAAUGUGUGCCUCCUGAAGGAUUUGUUUCAUACUACUACUCCAUGUCUAAGGAAAACAUGUAAACAAUGCAGCGUAGAGAAGCUUGUCCAGCUACUGGAUUAAGCAUCCAGUUGGCCAUCAGAAGUUAAAAAAAAAAAAAAGAAAGAAAGAAAGAAAGAAAACCACACUAACAACACUGAGUUAUUUUGUGACAGCUGGUCCCAUUUGGUAAGCUUAUACACAUUGUACUAAGAAAUAUGGUUUAUUCAACUUCUGGCUUAUAAUGGUUUUUAAAUUCUUCCAUUAAUUUUCUUCUUGAAUUUUUCAAGAAGAAAAUACCAAAAAAAGACUUCCCUUUUCCAAAACCAGUCCAUUUCUGGAUAAUAAAAAUAACAUAGUGGUCAUUAUAGUAAUAUAGCUAAUCAUUUUUGAGUGAUUCUUAAUAAACACCAAGCCUCCAAGCCUCAAGUUCAGGGCUAUUUGCCAUCAUCCUCUUGACAAACAAAUGAGAAAUUCUCUCACAGCCUAUUUUCAGAUGAGGAAACUGAUCCUCAGCCAGGUUGAGUAGGUUGCCAAAGGCUCACCAACCUAACACAUGGAUUAGCCAAAAGUCCAGAGGUCAGGUCACUUCUCUCUAACUCCAAAAUUCUGAUCCUCUUCAUUAAACUGUGUAGUCUCCUGACCAUCAGCAUUAACCACAACAUGGAAUAACCCCAGAACCCAUCUCUAUGGAAAAACAUGUUUGGCACUCAAUGAAUAUCUGCAGAAUGACCAAAAGACGGUGUCUUUAGUUCAUUAAAUAAGGACUAGCAUAAAGAAGUGGGAUUUGUAGCAAUAGAAAUAUCGGGAGGGGUUUCUAUUGUAAUUCAGCAGGUUAAGAACCUAACAUUGUGUCCAUGAGGAUGUGGGUUUGAUCCCUGACUGCGUUCAGUGGGUGAAGGAUCCAGUGCUGCUGCAAUCUGCAGUGUAUGCCACAGGUGCAGCUUGGAUCUGAUGUUGCUGUGGCUGUGAUGUAGGCCGGCAGCUGCAGCUCCAGUUUGACCCCUAGCCUGGGAAUUUCCAUAGGCUGCAGGUUCAGCCCUAAAAAUACAAAAAAGAAGAACAGACUAUUUCUGUGUAAUACUAAAACACUUAUUUGAAACAAUUUCAGGAAACUAGUUUGUAUAAACAUGUUAUAUGUCCAAAUGAUUUCUUUAUUCAAAUAAAUAUUAAAUUUUGUCAUGUUUGCUUAACCUGGAAUUACAUAUCAUUGUCACAUAGAAAAAUAUUGGAAUAUGAUUUAUAUUUCCAUUUUCUUCUACUCUCAUAGGCAGUUUUAGAGUUUUGUAUCUUUGGUCACUGGAAAUCUGGGGCUUUUUAAGUUUUUUUACUGUCUGGAUUGAAGCCAGUGUUACUAUAUUUCUGGCUUAGCAACUGUGGGUCUUUGUAGAUGCUGAAAAACAUAUAUAUUCAUAAUGCAGCCUUUUCUAUUACUGAAUCAAAACAAAAUGGGUCUUGGUGAUUUUGAAAUUAUUAUUACUUAGUCACACAAAAAGAGAAAUCAGUUAUUGCCAAAUCUAUUUUAUAAAUAAAAUUAUGCAUUUUGGUUCCUUCCAUUAUGUAGUAAUAAAAAAAAAUAAAAUCUGGAAUAUUUGGUACUAAUAUUUAAAAGUUGACGGUAUCCCCUCAUAGUUGUGGCAGUUUGUAUUUCCAUUUAAAAUACAUUAAGAAGUGGAUUAAAACAGAAUACAGUAUUUUUAAACCCUUAAAAAUGCCAAACUCGAUAAAAUGCCAUCAAAGUAGAUACUUUUUCAUUAUCUCCAUUUGGCAGAAGAGAAACCUAAGGCUCAGAGGAAUCAGGAAACUUACUCCAGGUCACACAGACAUAAAAGAGCAAAGAUGGGAUGGGAAUUCAACUGUAUUAGACUCAAGGGCAGUUUCUGGACCUCAGCACUAUCCAAUUUUUUUUGGGGGGGGGGCACACCUGUGGCAUAUGGAGGUUUCUAGGCAAGGGGUCUAAUCUGAGCUAAAGCUGCUAGCCUAUGCCACAGCCACAGCAACACCAGAUCCUUAACCCACUGAGCAAGGCCAGGGAUCGAACUGCAACCUCAUGGUUCCUAGUCAGAUUUGUUUCUGCUGCGCCACAACGGGAACUCCAGCUCUAUCCAUUUUGGACAGGAUAAUCCUUUGUCAUGGCCAUGGGGGAGAGAUGUCCUUGGUAUUACAGGAGGUUUGGCAGCAUCCAUGGCUUCUAUUCAUUAGUUGCCAGUAACACCUCCCUCCAACAAAUUGUAACAAUCCAAAAUAUCUUCAGACAUUGUCAAAUUCCCCCUGGGGGAGGCAAAAUCACCCCAGUAUAGAAAUGACUACCCUAAAGCUCAGAUAUUAAGUGCUAUGCUUUUCUGGCUGUCUUUCAGUAUAGGUCAAGAUCAGCCUUACAGAACGGGCCCCUAGCAAGUUUGUCACAGUCCAUGCAUGUCUGGGCCUCAGCCAAUUUUGUUUCUCCUUCAUUUUAUGUAGGAAGGAAAUGCCAGGCGCCCACAAUCUAGAGUGGUUUGGGAUAUGUACCCAAAGCUAAAAUUAAUUUAAAAAAAUAAUGAAUUGCCCUGCUCUCAUUACCAGAAAUUUGAGCCAGAACUGGAUCCAUGUGCUUGGGGAUGAGAUUGUUACAAAGGAAGGGUAAUGGGAAGACUUAUUUCAAGCUCAGAGUCCUCACUAUUUCACUCAGAAUUAAUUUGACGAAGACUAGAAUAAGAAUUGCAAAGUCAUCAAAGAUGAUGGCUUUUCCUUUAUGACCCUUGGCACCAGAACAAAGAGCCUAUUUUUGUGGGUUUUGGGGUUUCCAGAAUAAAGGGAAUAAGAUGUUUAGGUAAUGUUUGGAUGGUUUAGAGACUGUAUGUACAUUAGUGAUAGGUCAAUUAAUAUCUGAACAGUUCAAAGAGGCAAUUAUUUUAAUUUAUAAAUCACUUCAGAGGUAGGGAGCUGCCAUCCAUUAAUGUGGUUUUUACAAAUAAGAGUGCUCAUUGUUAUGUGUUUGUGUGUGUGCAUUUCUACCCAUGUCAUUCUAUCUGGCCUGAAUUUUCCGACCAGAUCGCAUAGCUCUGUGAUUAUGUAUUUGUCUCUAGAGCACUGCCAAAUACAUAAAGCAUUGUAUCUGCAAUUUGACCCUUAGCUGAGACCACCCUAUUUUUCGAGUUUUAACUAUGCUAAAAGGUACCACCAUGCACAUUGUUGCUUCCAGAAAAGGACUUCUUACAUUACGCUCUAAAUGGCAGAGUCGAAGAGCUAAGUCUCCUGGGGUUGGGAGGGUGGAGUGGGAUUACAAUGCCUGUUGGUUCAAAAAGGAGAGAGGGCCAAAGUGAUUUCUGGGCAUGGUGGACUUAUCAGACAUUUUGACAGUUGGCUGAAAAGUUGCCAAGUGGCAACAGAGAGAUUUCCUUUAAAACCGUGUCAUGAACAUCCCUUGAUUUUUUUUCCUAUUUUUAAAAAUUACUAAAUGACAAAAAAGUUUUAAGCAUAGUGCUCACCUCUAAGGGUAUGAGAAUAUGUAAGACCAAGACAGUCUAAUGGGAGAGGCAAACUAGGAAGCUCAAGGUAAGAGUAUAUGAUGAGUGUGAUAAUUGGUAAAGUAU